Molecule: ribosomal RNA, 406 nt
Filed under: uncultured bacterium
Lineage: Bacteria
Description: partial 16S ribosomal RNA
Rfam family: Bacterial small subunit ribosomal RNA
Source: RNAcentral
AUUGAACGCUGGCGGCAGGCUUAACACAUGCAAGUCGAGCGAGCGGCGGACGGGUGAGUAAUGUCUGGGAAACUGCCUGAUGGAGGGGGAUAACUACUGGAAACGGUAGCUAAUACCGCAUACCAUCAGAUGUGCCCAGAUGGGAUUAGCUAGUAGGUGGGGUAAUGGCUCACCUAGGCGACGAUCCCUAGCUGGUCUGAGAGGAUGACCAGCCACACUGAAACUGAGACACGGUCCAGACUCCUACGGGAGGCAGCAGUGGGGAUAAUUGCAAAAUGGGCGCAAGCCUGAUUCAGCAAUGCAGCGGAAGUGAAGAAGGCCUUCGGGUUGUAAAGCACUUUAAGAGAGGAGGCGUUACUCGCAGAAGAAGCACCGGCUAACUCCGUGCCAGCAGCCGCGGUAAUAG